CUCAUAUCUGUAUUUUUACAGUGCAGUGACAUCAUAGGGAAAACGGGCGCCGUUACACCGACAAUGCUACAUCGGGCAUGCUUUGAAGGCAACGAGGCCAUAGUGUGGAUGAUGGCCGAAACUGGAGCCAACGUUGAAGAAGUAGACGAAGAUGGCAAUAGGGCGCUGCACUAUGCAACUUAUGGUGAUAAACCGGACGUCAUAGAACUGCUGCUGAAUUUGGGCGCGGACAUUAACGCAACCAAUAAGAAAAAGUUUACAGCACUGCAAGUUGCAGUCAAAAAGAAACAUGUCAACUGCGUUCGCAUUCUGAUCAACAAGUUUCCAGAACGUCUUGAUGUCAACAUUCAGGAUGGUGUAGGUGAUACACCCCUCCAUGAUGCUAUCAAACAUGCAAGCCCGGAAAUUACUGACAUGCUCGUGAACUUUCCCUCCGUGGACUUUACCUUGUGUAAUGAGAGUGGAUACAACCUCCUUCAUCAAGCAGCUGUAACUGGAAACAACUUCGCCACAGAGAUGAUCCUUUCGAAAAAACCAGACCUUGUGGACGUGAAGGACAGUGACGGCUGCACUGCCCUACAUUUGGCAGCUCGUGCAAAUAACUAUAGUGUUGCGAGGACUUUGGUUACCCAGGGCAAGUGCACCGUUGACCUCAAGAACACACAACAACAGACGGCCCUCUUCACAGCUGUAUUCACAGGAAACUGUGCAUUGAUCGAGCUGUUGCUCGAGGCGGGUGCAGACAUCAAUACAACAAACAAGGACGGCGACACGCCCAUGCAUAUGACCUUGGCGAUGCGAUCUCACUUACGGGUGCAGUCCCUAGACCCAUCGGAAGUUGAGGCCAUAACUGCGAUUGUAAAGAAACUCUUGGAGAACCCUCAACCUGGAGUUGACAGCACUUUGGCAUUGGCAUGUUUCUUGGCCGCCAAAGGUGCAGACCUCCACCGAAAAAAUAAGUAUGGAACGACGCCACUUGAAAUGGCUGGCAGCGCUGCUGUGGUCGAACUUCUCUUGUCCUGGCAAACACAAAAGGGGGAUGCAGAAAAUAAAGUUGGUUCCACAAAAUCAGCCGCAGCUGCUGGGGAUGCUGGAUCGAGCUCAUACAUUUGCAAGAUCUGCCUUGAAGCUGAUGCCGAUGUGUGGUUCGAGCCCUGUGGCCAUCAUCUAUACUGCUCGGAGUGCUGUCGACGCAUGAAACGCUGCCUUGAGUGCAGUGUACCAAUCACGGGGAGGGUUGCAGUCUUUCAUCUGAAAGCCUAGUGGCCGUUUUCAACAAAGAUUUCCAGUGCCCCCACGUCUGACUCACUCAAGAGUUCUUUCACGAGCACAUUCUCUCUCUGACUCCUGAAAGAUUCGGCGGCAGCAGCGAAGCAGGCAGGCAAGCUCAGAGGGAGCUCGAGGCAAGGUUGCAGCAGCUGGAGGAAGUCCACAGCUGUGG
RNAcentral lists this unclassified non-coding RNA (1441 nucleotides) under Dermacentor andersoni. Its description in RNAcentral is "e3 ubiquitin-protein ligase MIB2-like". Lineage: Eukaryota; Metazoa; Arthropoda; Arachnida; Ixodida; Ixodidae. The record is from RNAcentral.